UCUGGUAUAGUGUAACGGCGAACAUACCUCGUUUUCACCGAGGAGCUCGGGGUUCGAUUCCCCGUACCGGAG
RNAcentral lists this transfer RNA (72 nucleotides) under Hypoxylon sp. FL1150. RNAcentral describes it as "tRNA-Glu". It matches the Rfam family "tRNA". Rfam says of the family: Transfer RNA (tRNA) molecules are approximately 80 nucleotides in length. Their secondary structure includes four short double-helical elements and three loops (D, anti-codon, and T loops). The record is from RNAcentral. Lineage: Eukaryota; Fungi; Ascomycota; Sordariomycetes; Xylariales; Hypoxylaceae.